AGAGUUUGAUCCUGGCUCAGAACGAACGCUGGCGGCAGGCCUAACACAUGCAAGUCGAGCGCUCUCUUCGGAGGGAGCGGCGGACGGGUGAGUAACGCGUGGGAAUAUACCCUUCUCUACGGAAUAGCCUCGGGAAACUGAGAGUAAUACCGUAUACGCCCUUCGGGGGAAAGAUUUAUCGGAGAAGGAUUAGCCCGCGUUAAUUAGAUAGUUGGGUGGGGUAAUGGCCUACCAAGUCUACGAUCUAUAGCUGGUUUUAGAGGACGAUCAGCCACACUGGGACUGAGACACGGCCCAGACUCCUACGGGAGGCAGCAGUGGGGAAUCUUAGACAAUGGGCGAAAGCCUGAUCUAGCCAUGCCGCGUGAGUGAUGAAGGCCUUAGGGUCGUAAAGCUCUUUCGCCAGGGAUGAUAAUGACAGUACCUGGUAAAGAAACCCCGGCUAACUCCGUGCCAGCAGCCGCGGUAAUACGGAGGGGGUUAGCGUUGUUCGGAAUUACUGGGCGUAAAGCGCACGUAGGCGGAUUGGAAAGUUGGGGGUGAAAUCCCAGGGCUCAACCCUGGAACUGCCUCCAAAACUACCAGUCUAGAGUUCGAGAGAGGUGAGUGGAAUUCCGAGUGUAGAGGUGAAAUUCGUAGAUAUUCGGAGGAACACCAGUGGUGAAGGCGGCUCACUGGCUCGAUACUGACGCUGAGGUGCGAAAGUGUGGGGAGCAAACAGGAUUAGAUACCCUGGUAGUC
RNAcentral lists this ribosomal RNA (741 nucleotides) under uncultured bacterium. RNAcentral describes it as "bacterial SSU rRNA". It matches the Rfam family "Bacterial small subunit ribosomal RNA", at positions 8 to 795 of the family's 1533-position model. The record is from RNAcentral.